This 253-nucleotide ribosomal RNA is filed under the name uncultured bacterium. RNAcentral's name for it is "partial 16S ribosomal RNA". It matches the Rfam family "Bacterial small subunit ribosomal RNA", at positions 524 to 776 of the family's 1533-position model. The record is from RNAcentral.
CACGUAGGGCGCAAGCGUUGUCCGGAAUUAUUGGGCGUAAAGAGCUCGUAGGCGGUCUGUUGCGUCCGCUGUGAAAACUCGGGGCUUAACCCCGAGCCUGCAGUGGAUACGGGCAGACUAGAGGUAGGUAGGGGAGAAUGGAAUUCUCGGUGUAGCAGUGAAAUGCGUAGAUAUCGAGAGGAACACCAGUGGCGAAGGCGAGUCCCUGGACAACUCCUGACGCUGAAGCACGAAAGCUAGGGGAGCAAACAGG